GACGAACGCUGGCGGCGUGCUUAACACAUGCAAGUCGAACGGCAAGGCCCUGCUUUUGUGGGGUGCUCGAGUGGCGAACGGGUGAGUAACACGUGAGUAACCUGCCCUUGACUUUGGGAUAACUUCAGGAAACUGGGGCUACUACCGGAUAGGAGCUCCUGCUGCAUGGUGGGGGUUGGAAAGUUUCGGCGGUUGGGGAUGGACUCGCGGCUUAUCAGCUUGUUGGUGGGGUAGUGGCUUACCAAGGGUUUGACGGGUAGCCGGCCUGAGAGGGUGACCGGCCACAUUGGGACUGAGAGACGGCCCAGACUGCUACGGGAGGCAGCAGUGGGGAAUAUUGCACAAUGGGCGGAAGCCUGAUGCAGCAACGCCGCGUGCGGGAUGACGGCCUUCGGGUUGUAAACCGCUUUCGCCUGUGACGAAGCGUGAGUGACGGUAAUGGGUAAAGAAGCACCGGCUAACUACGUG
RNAcentral lists this ribosomal RNA (468 nucleotides) under uncultured bacterium. Its description in RNAcentral is "partial 16S ribosomal RNA". It matches the Rfam family "Bacterial small subunit ribosomal RNA", at positions 28 to 507 of the family's 1533-position model. The record is from RNAcentral.